CACCUGUGCGAAAGCGGCUCAAUGGACCACAACUGACGGUGAGGCACGAAAGCUAGGGGAGCAAACAGGAUUAGAUACCCUGGUAGUCCUAGCCCUAAACGAUGAUCGCUUGGUGUGACGGGUACCCAAUCCCGCCGUGCCGAAGCUAACGCGUUAAGCGAUCCGCCUGGGGAGUACGGUCGCAAGGCUAAACUCAAAGGAAUUGACGGGGGCCCGCACAAGCGGUGGAGCAUGUGGUUUAAUUCGACGCAACGCGAAGAACCUUACCUGGGCUCGAAAUGUACAGGAAUCCGGUGGAAACAUCGGCGUCUCGCAAGAGACCUGUAUAUAGGUGCUGCAUGGCUGUCGUCAGCUCGUGUCGUGAGAUGUUGGGUUAAGUCCCGCAACGAGCGCAACCCUUAUUACCAGUUGCUACCAUUUAGUUGAGCACUCUGGUGAGACUGCCUCGGAUAACGGGGAGGAAGGCGGGGAUGACGUCAAGUCCUCAUGGCCUUUAUGUCCAGGGCUACACACGUGCUACAAUGGUCGGUACAAACCGUUGCAAACCCGCGAGGGGGAGCUAAUCGGAAAAAGCCGGCCUCAGUUCGGAUUGCAGUCUGCAACUCGACUGCAUGAAGCUGGAAUCGCUAGUAAUCGCGGAUCAGAACGCCGCGGUGAAUACGUUCCCGGGCCUUGUACACACCGCCCGUCACAUCACGAAAGUGGGUCGUACUAGAAGCAGG
RNAcentral lists this ribosomal RNA (722 nucleotides) under Acidobacteriota bacterium. RNAcentral's name for it is "bacterial SSU rRNA". It matches the Rfam family "Bacterial small subunit ribosomal RNA", at positions 707 to 1430 of the family's 1533-position model. Lineage: Bacteria; Pseudomonadati; Acidobacteriota. The record is from RNAcentral.